UAACAGGUCUUCGGAUGCUGACGAGUGGCGAACGGGUGAGUAAUACAUCGGAACGUGCCUAGUAGUGGGGGAUAACUACUCGAAAGAGUGGCUAAUACCGCAUGAGAUCUACGGAUGAAAGCAGGGGAUCGCAAGACCUUGUGCUACUAGAGCGGCCGAUGGCAGAUUAGGUAGUUGGUGGGAUAAAAGCUUACCAAGCCGACGAUCUGUAGCUGGUCUGAGAGGACGAUCAGCCACACUGGGACUGGGACACGGCCCAGACUCCUACGGGAGGCAGCAGUGGGGAAUUUUGGACAAUGGGCGCAAGCCUGAUCCAGCAAUGCCGCGUGCAGGAUGAAGGCCUUCGGGUUGUAAACUGCUUUUGUACGGAACGAAAAGCCCUGGGUUAAUACCCUGGGGUCAUGACGGUACCGUAAGAAUAAGCACCGGCUAACUACGUGCCAGCAGCCGCGGUAAUACGUAGGGUGCGAGCGUUAAUCGGAAUUACUGGGCGUAAAGCGUGCGCAGGCGGUUUUGUAAGACAGAGGUGAAAUCCCCGGGCUCAACCUGGGAACUGCCUUUGUGACUGCAAGGCUAGAGUACGGCAGAGGGGGAUGGAAUUCCGCGUGUAGCAGUGAAAUGCGUAGGUAUGCGGAGGAACACCGAUGGCGAAGGCAAUCCCCUGGGCCUGUACUGACGC
RNAcentral lists this ribosomal RNA (679 nucleotides) under uncultured beta proteobacterium. RNAcentral's name for it is "bacterial SSU rRNA". It matches the Rfam family "Bacterial small subunit ribosomal RNA", at positions 70 to 746 of the family's 1533-position model. The record is from RNAcentral. Lineage: Bacteria; Pseudomonadati; Pseudomonadota; Betaproteobacteria.